RNAcentral lists this ribosomal RNA (331 nucleotides) under uncultured eukaryote. RNAcentral describes it as "partial 18S ribosomal RNA". It matches the Rfam family "Eukaryotic small subunit ribosomal RNA", at positions 1470 to 1796 of the family's 1831-position model. The record is from RNAcentral.
CCCUUAGAUGUUCUGGGCCGCACGCGCGCUACACUGUUCGACGCAGCGAGUCUUAACCUUGACCGAAAGGUUUGGGUAAUCUUCAGCAAAGUCGAACGUGGUGGGGAUCGAUCAUUGCAAUUAUUGAUCGUGAACGAGGAAUUCCUAGUAAGUGCAAGUCAUCAGCUUGCGCUGAUUACGUCCCUGCCCUUUGUACACACCGCCCGUCGCUACUACCGAUUGAAUGGUUUAGUGAGAUCUCUGGAUUGACGCUGGCUAGGGGGCGACCCUUGGCCAGGCUGUCGAGAAACUGCUCAAACUUGAUCAUUUAGAGGAAGUAAAAGUCGUAACA